This is a small nucleolar RNA of Amaranthus tricolor (Joseph's coat), 99 nucleotides long. RefSeq annotates it as small nucleolar RNA Z161/Z228. The record is from RefSeq and is a predicted model, not a curated record. NCBI's taxonomy places the organism in Eukaryota, Viridiplantae, Streptophyta, Magnoliopsida, Caryophyllales, Amaranthaceae. The transcript has a single exon.
AGCUCAAGUGAUGAUCUUGGAUUAAUUAUUCUCACGACGGUCGUCUGAGACACUAAUUAGUGUUCUUUGUGAUGUUAAGAAUCCAAUUUUCUGAUGAUC